Molecule: long non-coding RNA, 109 nt
Organism: Gavialis gangeticus (Gharial)
Lineage: Eukaryota; Metazoa; Chordata; Crocodylia; Gavialidae
Exons: 3
Source: RefSeq, a predicted model, not a curated record
UGAGUAUCUUCAUGAAUGAUCUGGAAGAUGGGAUGGAGUGGACCCUCAGCAGGUUUGCAAAUGACACCAACCUCAGAGAGCAGUAGAUACACUGGAAAGUAGAGCUAAG